Molecule: ribosomal RNA, 459 nt
Filed under: uncultured bacterium
Lineage: Bacteria
Description: partial 16S ribosomal RNA
Rfam family: Bacterial small subunit ribosomal RNA
Source: RNAcentral
CCUACGGGCGGCAGCAGUGAGGAAUAUUGGUCAAUGGGCGCGAGCCUGAACCAGCAAAGUAGCGUGAAGGAUGACUGCCCUACGGGUUGUAAACUUCUUUUAUAAAGGAAUAAAGUGAGGCACGUGUGCCUUUUGUAUGUACUUUAUGAAUAAGGAUCGGCUAACUCCGUGCCAGCAGCCGCGGUAAUACGGAGGAUCCGAGCGUUAUCCGGAUUUAUUGGGUUCAAAGGGAGCGUAGAUGGGUUGUUAAGGCAGUUGUGAAAGUUUGCGGCUCAACCGUAGAAUGGCAAUUGAUACUGGUAGACUUGAGUACAGUUGAGGGAGGCGGAAUUCGUGGUGUAGCGGUGAAAUGCUUAGAUAUCACGAAGAACUCCGAUUGCGAAGGCAGCUUACUAAACUGCCACUGACAUUGAUGCUCGAAAGUGUGGGUAUCAAACAGGAUUAGAUACCCCUGUAGUC